CCUACGGGAGGCAGCAGUGGGGAAUCUUGCGCAAUGGGCGAAAGCCUGACGCAGCCAUGCCGCGUGAAUGAUGAAGGUCUUAGGAUUGUAAAAUUCUUUCACCGGGGACGAUAAUGACGGUACCCGGAGAAGAAGCCCCGGCUAACUUCGUGCCAGCAGCCGCGGUAAUACGAAGGGGGCUAGCGUUGCUCGGAAUUACUGGGCGUAAAGGGAGCGUAGGCGGAUAGUUUAGUCAGAGGUGAAAGCCCAGGGCUCAACCUUGGAAUUGCCUUUGAUACUGGCUAUCUUGAGUGUGGGAGAGGUAUGUGGAACUCCGAGUGUAGAGGUGAAAUUCGUAGAUAUUCGGAAGAACACCAGUGGCGAAGGCGACAUACUGGCCCAUUACUGACGCUGAGGCUCGAAAGCGUGGGGAGCAAACAGGAUUAGAUACCCUGGUAGUCCACGCUGUAAACGAUGAGUGCUAGUUGUCGGCAGGCAUGCCUGUCGGUGACGCAGCUAACGCAUUAAGCACUCCGCCUGGGGAGUACGGUCGCAAGAUUAAAACUCAAAUGAAUUGACGG
RNAcentral lists this ribosomal RNA (560 nucleotides) under uncultured bacterium. RNAcentral describes it as "bacterial SSU rRNA". It matches the Rfam family "Bacterial small subunit ribosomal RNA", at positions 338 to 916 of the family's 1533-position model. The record is from RNAcentral.